RNAcentral lists this ribosomal RNA (253 nucleotides) under uncultured bacterium. RNAcentral's name for it is "partial 16S ribosomal RNA". It matches the Rfam family "Bacterial small subunit ribosomal RNA", at positions 524 to 776 of the family's 1533-position model. The record is from RNAcentral.
UACAGAGGGUGCGAGCGUUAAUCGGAAUUACUGGGCGUAAAGCGCGCGUAGGCGGUUAUACAAGUUGAGUGUGAAAUCCCUGGGCUUAACCUAGGAAUUGCAUUCAAAACUAUAUGACUUGAGUGAAGUAGAGGUGAGUGGAAUUUCCGGAGUAGCGGUGAAAUGCGUAGAUACCGGAAGGAACACCAGUGGCGAAGGCGACUCACUGGGCUUUAACUGACGCUGAGGUGCGAAAGCGUGGGGAGCAAACAGG